GCAGAGUAGGCGUAUUGCGUUAAGUGCCGCAGAAUGGGAUGUCGUUUGCGGACGAAAGGUAAGUUUAUUACCUGCGGUAAUGCGCCGCGUCCGUUG
This 96-nucleotide non-coding RNA is filed under the name chicken gut metagenome. RNAcentral describes it as "THF riboswitch". It matches the Rfam family "THF (Tetrahydrofolate) riboswitch aptamer". Rfam says of the family: THF riboswitch presents a pseudoknot that joins P1-P2 and the loop of P3 and two THF binding. The record is from RNAcentral.